Molecule: ribosomal RNA, 497 nt
Filed under: uncultured bacterium
Lineage: Bacteria
Description: partial 16S ribosomal RNA
Rfam family: Bacterial small subunit ribosomal RNA
Source: RNAcentral
GAUGAACGCUGGCGGCGUGCCUAAUACAUGCAAGUCGAGCGAACGGACGAGAAGCUUGCUUCUCUGAUGUUAGCGGCGGACGGGUGAGUAACACGUGGAUAACCUACCUAUAAGACUGGGAUAACUUCGGGAAACCGGAGCUAAUACCGGAUAAUAUUUUGAACCGCAUGGUUCAAAAGUGAAAGACGGUCUUGCCGCCACUUAUAGAUGGAUCCGCGCUGCAUUAGCUAGUUGGUAAGGUAACGGCUUACCAAGGCAACGAUGCAUAGCCGACCUGAGAGGGUGAUCGGCCACACUGGAACUGAGACACGGUCCAGACUCCUACGGGAGGCAGCAGUAGGGAAUCUUCCGCAAUGGGCGAAAGCCUGACGGAGCAACGCCGCGUGAGUGAUGAAGGUCUUCGGAUCGUAAAACUCUGUUAUUAGGGAAGAACAUAUGUGUAAGUAACUGUGCACAUCUUGACGGUACCUAAUCAGAAAGCCACGGCUAACUACGUG